This 1213-nucleotide ribosomal RNA is filed under the name Changeondelphax velitchkovskyi. RNAcentral's name for it is "16S ribosomal RNA". The stretch from base 989 to 1147 matches the Rfam family "Archaeal large subunit ribosomal RNA", at positions 2544 to 2703 of the family's 2987-position model. The record is from RNAcentral. Lineage: Eukaryota; Metazoa; Arthropoda; Insecta; Hemiptera; Delphacidae.
AUUAUUUUUUUUUAAUUUUAAUGGUUUAGGGUUAAAAAAUUAUUUUUUGUUUAGGUAUUUUAUUGAGGAAUUUAUUUAAAAUUAAACCGUAAGGGUUAAAAAAUUAUUUUUUAAAAGAAAAUUUUUUUGUUGUACCUUUUGUCUCAGGGUUGAUUCAAUUUUAUUAACUAUAUUUUAAUUUUCCCGAAAGUUUAAGAUCUUAAUUUUUUUGUUUAUAGUUGUUACACAAACUUGAAAAAAUUAAAUUAAGUUUUGAAAUGAAAAUCGUUUAUUCUGAUAUCUGGUUCUUUUGGAAAUAAAUUUAAUUUAGGUAACUUAAAUAUUUUGAGUUUAUUUUUAGUUUAAAUUUUAGUUACUAAGUUAAAUUGGGUUAAUCUAAUUUAAAUUUUUAUAAAUGRGAAUUUAAAGGGGUUUUGUAGGAUUAAAAUUUUUUUUCUAAUAAAGUUUUUUUUAAAUUAUUCCUUGAAAUUUAAGAAUUUUUAAUUUUUUACAAAAUUUACAAAUAAAAUUUUUYAAUUUGUUAAAAAUGAUUAUAUAAGUAAAUUUGAAAUUUAUUUUUAUGAACUCGGCAAACUACAUUUCUGUCUGUUUAUCAAAAACAUUUCUUUUAGCAUUUUAUUUAAAGUUGGGCCUGCUCAAUGAAAAUUUUUAAAUAGCUGCAGUAUAUUAACUGUACAAAGGUAGCGUAGUAAGUAGUCUUUUAAUUGAGGUCUAGCAUGAAUGGUUUAACAAGAAAUUAACUUUAUUGACUUAAUUAAAUGAAUUUUAUUUUUUAGUUAAAAAGCUAAAAUUUAAAAAUGGGACGAUAAGACCCUAUAGAUCUUUAAAUUUUUUAAUUAAUAAGAUUAUUUAGGUUUAAUUGUAUUUUAUUUUUAAGAAUUUUUUGUUGGGGUGACAAAUAAAUUUUUAAAACUUUAAUAUUUUUAUACAUAAAUUAGUGAAUUUUAUUGAACCCAAUUUUAGGGGUGUUAAAAUAAGAUACCUUAGGGAUAACAGCGUAAUAAAUUUGAAUAGUUCUUAUAGAUAAAUUUGUUUGCGACCUCGAUGUUGAAUUAAUCUAAAGUUUUGGAGCAGAAAUUAGAAUUUUGGGUCUGUUCGACCUUUAAAUGAUUACAUGAUUUGAGUUCAAACCGGUGUGAGCCAGGUUGGUUUCUAUCUAUUUUAAGUUUCAUUUAAUUAGUACGAAAGGACUUUUAAGUUAGGAAGACUUUCU